GAUGAAGAACGUAGCGAAAUGCGAUAAGUAAUGUGAAUUGCAGAAUUCAGUGAAUCAUCGAAUCUUUGAACGCACAUUGCGCCCCCUGGUAUUCCGGGGGGCAUGCCUGUCCGAGCGUCAUUACAACCCUCAAGCUCAGCUUGGUGUUGGGCCCCGCCGCCCCGGCGGGCCCUAAAGUCAGUGGCGGUGCCGUCCGGCUCCGAGCGUAGUAAUUCUUCUCGCUCUGGAGGUCCGGUCGUGUGCUCGCCAGCAACCCCCAAUUUUUUUCAGGUUGACCUCGGAUCAGGUAGGGAUACCCGCUGAACUUAAGCAUAUCAAUGCGGAGGA
RNAcentral lists this unclassified non-coding RNA (327 nucleotides) under soil metagenome. Its description in RNAcentral is "partial contains 5.8S ribosomal RNA, internal transcribed spacer 2, and large subunit ribosomal RNA". The stretch from base 1 to 120 matches the Rfam family "5.8S ribosomal RNA", at positions 35 to 154 of the family's 154-position model. The record is from RNAcentral.